RNAcentral lists this ribosomal RNA (253 nucleotides) under uncultured bacterium. Its description in RNAcentral is "partial 16S ribosomal RNA". It matches the Rfam family "Bacterial small subunit ribosomal RNA", at positions 524 to 776 of the family's 1533-position model. The record is from RNAcentral.
UACGUAGGGUGCAAGCGUUAAUCGGAAUUACUGGGCGUAAAGCGCGUGUAGGCGGUUCGGUAAGUCCGCUGUGAAAGUCGGGGGCUCAACCCUCGGAUGCCGGUGGAUACUGUCGGGCUUGAGUGCGGAAGAGGCGAGUGGAAUUCCUGGUGUAGCGGUGAAAUGCGCAGAUAUCAGGAGGAACACCUAUUGCGAAGGCAGCUCGCUGGGACGUAACUGACGCUGAGACGCGAAAGCGUGGGGAGCAAACAGG